AAUCGAGGGCAAGUUGUCUUCAAAAAUCACAGUCGGUUUCCGCAGCGUCAGUCCCAUACUUGUCAGAAGGUUUCGUAGCCACACGGCCUCGACGUCACCCGCCCAGUCUGAGUCGGAAUAUCCGACAAGAGUGGCAUCACCCAUCUUGGAAUAUCGAAUUCCAUAAUUCAACGUGCCUUUCAAGUAUCUUAAAACUCAUUUGGCGGCAAUCCAGUGACUUUUGUUGGGAUGGGCCGAGAAUUUGGCAACAUUGGCGACGGCAAACGCCAUAUCCGGUCUUGUUCGCAACGAAAGGAUCACAAGGCGAGUCAAGCUCGUUGCACUCGAUCAUGCCAAACUUUUCAAGGAGUUCUUUUCCAUAGACUGGCUGUCCAACCCAUAUCACUCCCAACGCAGAAUUCUGAUGUACAUUGAUUCCAAGGAAAUAUUUCAUCCUUCCUAGGUCUUUGGCGUGAAAGCGUUCAGCUAACAAUUGCUUGAUAUAAGCAAUGCACUCACCAUCACUCGAGAUCAACACAAUAUCAUCAACGUACACGGCCAGAUUAUUCCAGCAUCUUGGCGACUGUUUUAAGCCAUAUAAGGCUUUGGUGAGUUUGCACACUCGGUCAUCGUCAUGGAUUUUGUGAAACAUUUCCGGGCGUUCAAUAUAAAUAUCUU
Long non-coding RNA from Tigriopus californicus, 657 nucleotides. RefSeq lists it as uncharacterized. The transcript has 3 exons. The record is from RefSeq and is a predicted model, not a curated record. Lineage: Eukaryota; Metazoa; Arthropoda; Copepoda; Harpacticoida; Harpacticidae.